RNAcentral lists this ribosomal RNA (518 nucleotides) under uncultured Gemmatimonadota bacterium. Its description in RNAcentral is "bacterial SSU rRNA". It matches the Rfam family "Bacterial small subunit ribosomal RNA", at positions 9 to 524 of the family's 1533-position model. Lineage: Bacteria; Pseudomonadati; Gemmatimonadota. The record is from RNAcentral.
GAGUUUGAUCCUGGCUCAGGACGAACGCUGGCGGCGCGCUUAACACAUGCAAGUCGAACGGGGCCCUUCGGGGUUCAGUGGCGAACGGGUGCGUAACACGUGAGUGACCUGCCCUGGCGCGGGGGAUAACCCGGGAAACCCGGGCUAAUACCGCAUACGUUCUCCGGGCUGAUGGCCUGGGGAGGAAAGGUGCUUUACGGCACUGUGCUGGGAGGGGCUCGCGGCGUAUCAGGUAGUUGGUGGGGUAACGGCUCACCAAGCCGAUGACGCGUAGGGGUCUGAGAGGAUGGCCCCCCACAUUGGGACUGAGAUACGGCCCAGACUCCUACGGGAGGCAGCAGUGGGGAAUCUUGCGCAAUGGCCGAAAGGCUGACGCAGCGACGCCGCGUGCGGGAGGACGCUUUUCGGAGUGUAAACCGCUGUCGGGUGGGACGAAGGUCCCGGGCAGGAAAUGGCCUGGGGAUGACGGUACCACCAGAGGAAGCACCGGCUAACUUCGUGCCAGCCGCCGCGGUAAU